This 78-nucleotide small RNA is filed under the name Xanthomonas arboricola pv. populi. RNAcentral's name for it is "sX9 sRNA". It matches the Rfam family "Xanthomonas sRNA sX9". The record is from RNAcentral. Lineage: Bacteria; Pseudomonadati; Pseudomonadota; Gammaproteobacteria; Lysobacterales; Lysobacteraceae.
AUGGACCACGCGGUACGCUGCGGUUCUGAGCGUGCCGUUCGCAUCCAACUGGAGACUGCUCGCUACGGUUUGCUAGCC